GCGUUGGACCGCACACAAGUCUGUUGGAAUACAGCGGCAUAGUGGUGAAACCCCCGUAUAUGGUGCGGACGCCCAGCGCUUUGUGAUACACUUUCAAUGAGUCGAGUUGUUUGGGAAUGCAGCUCAAAUUGGGUGGUAAAUUCCAUCUAAAGCUAAAUAUUGGCGAGAGACCGAUAGCGAACAAGUACCGUGAGGGAAAGAUGAAAAGCACUUUGGAAAGAGAGUUAACAGUACGUGAAAUUGUUGGAAGGGAAACGCUUGAAGUCAGACUUGCUUGCCGGAGCUUGCUUCGGUUUGCAGGCCAGCAUCAGUUUUCCGGGGUGGAUAAUGACGGUUUGAAGGUAGCAGUCUCGGCUGUGUUAUAGCUUUCCGUUGGAUACGCCCUGGGGGACUGAGGAACG
Molecule: ribosomal RNA, 401 nt
Filed under: Rhodotorula diobovata
Lineage: Eukaryota; Fungi; Basidiomycota; Microbotryomycetes; Sporidiobolales; Sporidiobolaceae
Description: eukaryotic LSU rRNA
Rfam family: Eukaryotic large subunit ribosomal RNA
Source: RNAcentral